RNAcentral lists this unclassified non-coding RNA (321 nucleotides) under uncultured fungus. Its description in RNAcentral is "partial contains small subunit ribosomal RNA, internal transcribed spacer 1, and 5.8S ribosomal RNA". The stretch from base 1 to 73 matches the Rfam family "Eukaryotic small subunit ribosomal RNA", at positions 1759 to 1831 of the family's 1831-position model. The record is from RNAcentral. Lineage: Eukaryota; Fungi.
GCAAACUUGGUCAUUUAGAGGAAGUAAAAGUCGUAACAAGGUCUCCGUUGGUGAACCAGCGGAGGGAUCAUUACAGAGUCCCUAAACGGCUCAAAACCCACUGUGAACAUACCUUUUGUUGUUGCUUUGGCAGGCGGUCCAGGGGGACCACGGCCUGCCAGGCUGCCGCAUGGCAGUCUGGAGGGUCCCGGGUGUCACGCCCGGCUGCCAAAGGACGCCUCAAAUACACGCUGUAAAAACGUUUGUGUCUGAGUCUGAUGGGAAGCUAUUAAAACUUUCAACAACGGAUCUCUUGGUUCUGGCAUCGAUGAAGAACGCAGC